CCGGAGAAUGUUAUCACGGGAGACACACGGCGGGUGCUAACGUCCGUCGUGAAGAGGGAAACAACCCAGACCGCCAGCUAAGGUCCCAAAGUCAUGGUUAAGUGGGAAACGAUGUGGGAAGGCCCAGACAGCCAGGAUGUUGGCUUAGAAGCAGCCAUCAUUUAAAGAAAGCGUAAUAGCUCACUGGUCGAGUCGGCCUGCGCGGAAGAUGUAACGGGGCUAAACCAUGCACCGAAGCUGCGGCAGCGAACGUAUCACUUAAAGCGAUUCAGCGGGUUACGAUUGACGGAGCGAAGCGACGUCAAAGCGUAUACAAAGUCGAGUCGGUUUAAGGAUACGUUCGUUGGGUAGGGGAGCGUUCUGUAAGCCCGUGAAGGUGGCCUGUGAGGGUUGCUGGAGGUAUCAGAAGUGCGAAUGCUGACAUAAGUAACGAUAAAGCGGGUGAAAAGCCCGCUCGCCGGAAGACCAAGGGUUCCUGUCCAACGUUAAUCGGGGCAGGGUGAGUCGACCCCUAAGGCGAGGCCGAAAGGCGUAGUCGAUGGGAAACGGGUUAAUAUUCCCGUACUUGGUGUUACUGCGAAGGGGGGACGGAGAAGGCUAUGUUGGCCGGGCGACGGUUGUCCCGGUUUAAGCGUGUAGGUGUGUGUUCCAGGUAAAUCCGGUUCACUUUAACACUGAGGCGUGACGACGAGGCACUACGGUGCUGAAGCAACAAAUGCCCUGCUUCCAGGAAAAGCCUCUAAGCAUCAGGUAACACGAAAUCGUACCCCAAACCGACACAGGUGGUCAGGUAGAGAAUACCAAGGCGCUUGAGAGAACUCGGGUGAAGGAACUAGGCAAAAUGGUGCCGUAACUUCGGGAGAAGGCACGCUGACACGUAGGUGAAGUGAUUUACUCAUGGAGCUGAAGUCAGUCGAAGAUACCAGCUGGCUGCAACUGUUUAUUAAAAACACAGCACUGUGCAAACACGAAAGUGGACGUAUACGGUGUGACGCCUGCCCGGUGCCGGAAGGUUAAUUGAUGGGGUCAGCGUAAGCGAAGCUCCUGAUCGAAGCCCCGGUAAACGGCGGCCGUAACUAUAACGGUCCUAAGGUAGCGAAAUUCCUUGUCGGGUAAGUUCCGACCUGCACGAAUGGCGUAAUGAUGGCCAGGCUGUCUCCACCCGAGACUCAGUGAAAUUGAACUCGCUGUGAAGAUGCAGUGUACCCGCGGCAAGACGGAAAGACCCCGUGAACCUUUACUAUAGCUUGACACUGAACAUUGAGCCUUGAUGUGUAGGAUAG
RNAcentral lists this ribosomal RNA (1283 nucleotides) under Salmonella enterica subsp. enterica serovar Typhimurium. RNAcentral describes it as "bacterial LSU rRNA". It matches the Rfam family "Bacterial large subunit ribosomal RNA", at positions 962 to 2146 of the family's 2925-position model. The record is from RNAcentral. Lineage: Bacteria; Pseudomonadati; Pseudomonadota; Gammaproteobacteria; Enterobacterales; Enterobacteriaceae.